Molecule: ribosomal RNA, 537 nt
Filed under: Lophiostoma biappendiculatum
Lineage: Eukaryota; Fungi; Ascomycota; Dothideomycetes; Pleosporales; Lophiostomataceae
Description: eukaryotic LSU rRNA
Rfam family: Eukaryotic large subunit ribosomal RNA
Source: RNAcentral
CGGCGAGUGAGCGGCAAGAGCUCAAAUUUGAAAGCUGGCUCCUUCGGGGUCCGCAUUGUAAUUUGCAGAGGAUGCUUCGGGAGUGGCCCCCAUCUAAGUGCCCUGGAACGGGCCGUCAUAGAGGGUGAGAAUCCCGUCUGGGAUGGGGUGUCCACGCCCGUGUGAAGCUCCUUCGACGAGUCGAGUUGUUUGGGAAUGCAGCUCUAAAUGGGUGGUAAAUUUCAUCUAAAGCUAAAUACUGGCCGGAGACCGAUAGCGCACAAGUAGAGUGAUCGAAAGAUGAAAAGCACUUUGAAAAGAGAGUUAAACAGCACGUGAAAUUGUUGAAAGGGAAGCGCUUGCGACCAGACUCGCCCACGGGGUUCAGCCGGCAUUCGUGCCGGUGUACUUCCCCGCGGGCGGGCCAGCGUCGGUUUGGGCGGCCGGUCAAAGGCCCUCGGAAUGUAACGCCCCCCGGGGCGUCUUAUAGCCGAGGGUGCCAUGCGGCCAGCCCGGACCGAGGAACGCGCUUCGGCUCGGACGCUGGCAUAAUGGUCG